RNAcentral lists this transfer RNA (82 nucleotides) under Metschnikowia torresii. Its description in RNAcentral is "[Candida] torresii tRNA-Ser". Lineage: Eukaryota; Fungi; Ascomycota; Pichiomycetes; Serinales; Metschnikowiaceae. The record is from RNAcentral.
GGAUAACUUGGUAUUUGGUAAACUAACCUACUUGCUACGUAGUUGCAUUCUUGCUAUCAGCGUUCGAAUCGCUGGUUAUCCG